Molecule: ribosomal RNA, 486 nt
Filed under: uncultured Leifsonia sp.
Lineage: Bacteria; Bacillati; Actinomycetota; Actinomycetes; Micrococcales; Microbacteriaceae
Description: partial 16S ribosomal RNA
Source: RNAcentral
CACGUAGUUAGCCGGUGCUUUUUCUGCAGGUACCGUCACUUUCGCUUCUUCCCUACUAAAAGAGGUUUACAACCCGAAGGCCGUCGUCCCUCACGCGGCGUUGCUGCAUCAGGCUUGCGCCCAUUGUGCAAUAUUCCCCACUGCUGCCUCCCGUAGGAGUCUGGGCCGUGUCUCAGUCCCAGUGUGGCCGGUCACCCUCUCAGGCCGGCUACCCGUCGUCGCCUUGGUGAGCCAUUACCUCACCAACAAGCUGAUAGGCCGCGAGUCCAUCCUUGACCGAAAUUCUUUCCACCCCCAGGAGAUGCCUCCGAAGGUCGUAUCCGGUAUUAGACGUCGUUUCCAACGCUUAUCCCAGAGUCAAGGGCAGGUUACUCACGUGUUACUCACCCGUUCGCCACUGAUCCACAGAGCAAGCUCUGCUUCACCGUUCGACUUGCAUGUGUUAAGCACGCCGCCAGCGUUCGUCCUGAGCCAGGAUCAAACUCU